This 548-nucleotide small RNA is filed under the name Pseudoscopulariopsis hibernica. RNAcentral describes it as "eukaryotic LSU rRNA". The stretch from base 191 to 344 matches the Rfam family "5.8S ribosomal RNA". Lineage: Eukaryota; Fungi; Ascomycota; Sordariomycetes; Microascales; Microascaceae. The record is from RNAcentral.
CAGAGUUGCAAAACUCCCACAAACCAUCGCGAAUCUUACCCGGACGGUUGCCUCGGCGCUGGCGGUCCGGAAGGCCCUCGGGCCCCCGGAUCCUCGGGUCUCCCGCUCGCGGGAGGCUGCCCGCCGGAGUGCCGAAACCAAACUCUUGAUAUUUUUUUGUCUCUCCAAGUAAAACUUUUAAAUAAGUCAAAACUUUCAACAACGGAUCUCUUGGUUCUGGCAUCGAUGAAGAACGCAGCGAAAUGCGAUAAGUAAUGUGAAUUGCAGAAUUCAGUGAAUCAUCGAAUCUUUGAACGCACAUUGCGCUCGCCAGUAUUCUGGCGAGCAUGCCUGUUCGAGCGUCAUUUCAACCAUCAAGCUCUGCUUGCGUUGGAGAUCCGCGUCUGACGCGGUCUCUCAAAACCAGUGGCGGGCUCGCUAGUCACACCGAGCGUAGUAACUCUACAUCGCUAUGGUCGUGCGGCGGGUUCUUGCCGUAAAACCCCCCAAUUUUUAAGGUUGACCUCGGAUCAGGUAGGAAUACCCGCUGAACUUAAGCAUAUCAAUAA